AGCAACCAAAUCCCGUGUAGUUGAAUUGUGGACUGCUACAUUCAACAACCGGCAGGCUUUUCGUCUGGAAAACAGGUUCACUGAAUACUUGAUGGAUUUUCCUGUAUUCUCAGCAUACAACGGAGAGCUGAUCUCCAUCGAUUACCACAAGAUGAAGCCCUCAGCCGCAUCUUUCUGUCAUAAUUGGGAACAAAUCGAAGCAAACAUUUUGAAGCAGAAUAGUCAUCUCUACAAGGAAAUCAAAGCAGAUUUUAUUCGAGCGCUGUCAAUCAUCCGAUUGAAAAAUCCAUCCAGAGGAUCCAAAAGGAAGCAAGACAAUUCCAGAAAGGAAAACCCACUAUCU
Molecule: long non-coding RNA, 343 nt
Organism: Aedes aegypti (yellow fever mosquito)
Lineage: Eukaryota; Metazoa; Arthropoda; Insecta; Diptera; Culicidae
Exons: 3
Source: RefSeq, a predicted model, not a curated record